This is a transfer RNA of 98 nucleotides. It matches the Rfam family "tRNA". Rfam says of the family: Transfer RNA (tRNA) molecules are approximately 80 nucleotides in length. Their secondary structure includes four short double-helical elements and three loops (D, anti-codon, and T loops). Further hydrogen bonds mediate the characteristic L-shaped molecular structure. tRNAs have two regions of fundamental functional importance: the anti-codon, which is responsible for specific mRNA codon recognition, and the 3' end, to which the tRNAs corresponding amino acid is attached (by aminoacyl-tRNA synthetases). tRNAs cope with the degeneracy of the genetic code in two manners: having more than one tRNA (with a specific anti-codon) for a particular amino acid; and 'wobble' base-pairing, i.e. permitting non-standard base-pairing at the 3rd anti-codon position. The record is from Rfam.
GGGCGUGUAGCUCAGUUGGUAGAGCGUUCCAUUCGCAUGGCGUCUUUGACAUCAAGCAUGACUUGGAAAGGUCUUUGGUUCGAUUCCUAACUCGUCCA